Planococcus citri (citrus mealybug) is the source of this 894-nucleotide long non-coding RNA. RefSeq lists it as uncharacterized. The record is from RefSeq and is a predicted model, not a curated record. The transcript has 6 exons. NCBI's taxonomy places the organism in Eukaryota, Metazoa, Arthropoda, Insecta, Hemiptera, Pseudococcidae.
CAGUUAAAUUGCUCGUUAUUCACGCACAGCUUCACACGGUCAUAAAAAUCCUCUAAAUUCCUACACAAGAUGGGUACCUACCUACGGUAUCUACUAUUCAACAAUCACAAUCAAUAAUUCGAUCAAACGGUCGUGUUCCUACUUGAAGAUAAGAACCAACGUCUUAGUUCUUAAAGUAAAAUUCGCUAAAAUGCGUUCAAUUAUUACCCAGUUUAUUUUUGUAUCAAUUUUUUCAUUUCUUUUAUACUUGAGCAGUGCUUUGGGUGACUGGAGCGAUAUUGACCCAAGUGAAGAAUUCAGACACGAAUGCGCGGAAGAUGUACAUUCCCGCAUGCCGCGAGGUUUCGUUGGAGGAGAUGUUCCCGGUAGCCAUACGUGCAUGUUAUAUUGUGCCUUUAAAGUACUUGGAAUGAUAACUGACAACGCGGAUCUGAACAUGCGCUGGGUAUCGGAUAACUUGGGUAGGAGUACAAGAGAAACUUUCAGAAAAAUUCGUGAAUGCGCAUAUACAGAUAGAGGGCCAAAUAUUUGUUCAAAAGCGAGAAGAAACACGCAAUGUUAUUUUAAGUAUAAGGGCACUACACGGGUUGAUAAGGAUUUGAAGCGCAUUUUGCACGGAGAGUACACAUAUUCUCGACGAAAUUAACUUUAGUACCCAAUCAGAAAAGCUACAAUCCCAGGUCACACAGUCUUGAAGCUCAAAAUGACGAUUGUCAAAUUUUUGGCAGGUACUCAAGACCGUGGCAACACUGAUUUUCAUCAUAUCUUCGAGGAGAGAGGCUGGAGAAGAAGAACGUUGCUUCACUUGGUAAAACUGCCUUAAUUAAUCUCAAUAAUUCUAAAUAAAUUUCAACUAUGUACUUACCUAAAUAUAAUGAUUUGAUACCAUUUUAA